CACGUGGGUAAUCUACCUUCUAGUGUGGAAGUAAACCCCUGGGAAAACCCGGGGGCGUAAUACCGCAUAAGCCUGUGAAGGGAAAGCAGCAAUGCGCUGGAAGAGGAGCCCGCGGCCGAUUGGCUAGUUGGUGAGUAACGGCCCACCAAGGCGAUGAUCGGUAGCCGGCCUGAGAGGGCACACGGCCACACUGGCACUGAAACACGGGCCAG
RNAcentral lists this ribosomal RNA (212 nucleotides) under uncultured bacterium. RNAcentral's name for it is "partial 16S ribosomal RNA". It matches the Rfam family "Bacterial small subunit ribosomal RNA", at positions 114 to 334 of the family's 1533-position model. The record is from RNAcentral.